Molecule: non-coding RNA, 95 nt
Organism: Chiloscyllium plagiosum (whitespotted bambooshark)
Lineage: Eukaryota; Metazoa; Chordata; Chondrichthyes; Orectolobiformes; Hemiscylliidae
Source: RefSeq, a predicted model, not a curated record
CCAGCCCAGCUGAGCCCCAGCUGUUCAGCAAUCAGGGACAUCUUCAGUUCUGCCCGUUCGCGGGCACUCAGAGAGGCUAUGGACAGGUCAGGCAG